UGAAACCUGCAUUCUAGCCAUAUCCUACCUAAUCACCUCUCCCCAAUACUUCUUGGGCCUCCCUCUGCCGCGCCGACCGCCCGCAAUCACCAGCCGUUCGCAGCUCCUCACCGGUGCAUCGGGACUCCUCCUCCGCACAUGCCCAAACCACCUCAGCCGCGCUUCACGCAUCUUCUCGUCCACCGGUGCCGCCCCCACCUUCUCCCGAAUAAUUUCAUUCCUAAUUUUAUCUAGCCUGGUAUGCCCGCACAUCCACCUAAGCAUCCUCAUCUCCGCGACCCUCAUCCUCUG
Molecule: long non-coding RNA, 291 nt
Filed under: Nicotiana benthamiana
Lineage: Eukaryota; Viridiplantae; Streptophyta; Magnoliopsida; Solanales; Solanaceae
Description: long non-coding RNA (NBEN_LNC020929)
Source: RNAcentral